This is a long non-coding RNA of Oncorhynchus gorbuscha (pink salmon), 4282 nucleotides long. RefSeq lists it as uncharacterized. The record is from RefSeq and is a predicted model, not a curated record. The transcript is spliced from 2 exons. NCBI's taxonomy places the organism in Eukaryota, Metazoa, Chordata, Actinopteri, Salmoniformes, Salmonidae.
GAGGGUUGGACUGAAAACCUACAAGACAGUAGAUCUCCAGGAAGAGGGUUGGACUGAAAACCUACAAGACAGUAGAUCUCCAGGAAGAGGGUUGGACUGAAAACCUACAAGACAGUAGAUCUCCAGAAAGAGGGCUGGGCAGCCCUGUACCUUAUCAUACCAGAUUCUGAGCCUCUCGUCUGGCUCUGUGAGAUUAGAUUUAGUAGUCCCUCCCUCUUAUGAUUGUUGAUCUGUGGUGGAAAGAUGUUUUUAUUGUUUUACCUCAUUGCCAUGUUUUGCACCAGGACAGUUGGGGCUUUUCUCUAUGAUAUUAACCAGUGUAAAGACAACAACAGUACACUAACCCAGGUCCUAGAGUUCGAGGCAAAUUAAUAUUGUCAUUUCCCUUAGACGAAGUAGGGACCAUAUAGCCCAACAUAACAUACUGUACCAAAAGUGAAAAGACGCAAUUCAUUCUUACACCAUAUUGAUUAAUUCUUAUAUACACCAUAUUGAUUAAUUCUUAUAUACACCAUAUUGAUUCAUUCUUAUAUACACCAUAUUGAUUCAUUCUUACAUACACCAUAUUGAUUCAUUCUUACACCAUAUUGAUUCAUUCUUACAUACACCAUAUUGAUUCAUUUUUACACCAUAUUGAUUCAUUCGAUAACCUUAUCAGAGUUUGUAUGAAUGGCACAGAGUCCCGGAUUAUGUUAUUUUAGUUAUAGGACCGGAUUCCCAGAUACACAGUCCUAGUUAUAGGACCGGAUUCCCAGACACACAGUCCUAGUUAUAGGACCGGAUUCCCAGACACACAGUCCUUGUCGAGGAGAAGUUCCAUUGAAAAAGCUUUUUAGCUGCAGGUAACCUAGUGGUUAGAGCAUUGGACUAGUAACCUAAAGGUUGCUGGAUCGAAUCCCAGAGUUGACAAGGUAAAAAUCUCUCGUUCUGCCCUUGAACAAGGCGGUUAUCCCACUGUUCCUCGGUAGGCCGUCAUUGUAAAUAAUAAUUUGUUCUUAACUGACUUGCCUACUUAAAAACAUUUAAAUAGUCCAGAAUUAGGCUUAAUCUGUAUCUGGGAAACAGGCCCUUAGGGUAGAUUUAUGUGUUGUACCCAUAGAGUUAGGUAGAUUUAUGUGUUUUACCCAUAGAGGUAGGUAGGUUUUUGUGUUGUACCCAUAGAGGUAGGUAGGUUUAUGUGUUGUGCCCAUAGAGUUAGGUAGAUGUAUGUGUUGAGCCCAUAGAGUUAGGUAGGUUUAUGUGUUGAGCCCAUAGAGUUAGGUAGAUGUAUGUGUUGUACCCAUAGAGUUAGGUAGAUGUAUGUGUUGAGCCCAUAGAGUUAGGUAGAUGUAUGUGUUGAGCCCAUAGAGUUAGGUAGAUGUAUGUGUUGAGCCCAUAGAGUUAGGUAGAUGUAUGUGUUGAGCCCAUAGAGUUAGGUAGAUGUAUGUGUUGAGCCCAUAGAGUUAGGUAGAUGUAUGUGUUGAGCCCAUAGAGUUAGGUAGAUGUAUGUGUUGAGCCCAUAGAGUUAGGUAGAUGUAUGUGUUGAGCCCAUAGAGUUAGGUAGAUGUAUGUGUUGAGCCCAUAGAGUUAGGUAGAUGUAUGUGUUGAGCCCAUAGAGUUAGGUAGGUUUAUGUGUUGAGCCCAUAGAGUUAGGUAGAUGUAUGUGUUGAGCCCAUAGAGUUAGGUAGAUGUAUGUGUUGAGCCCCAGGUAACAUUUUCUAUUUCAUUAAGGGACUUUUUUCUUUUUCAUUUGCAUCAUUUGUGGUCCACCACCUUCACUCCUUCCGGGAUAUGUGCAAUAUGGUAUCUUAUUACCUGUCAUGAUGUGGAUAUGAAUAUGUAAUAUUGUAUGAACAAGUGACACGUUGUUUGAAAACAACAAAAUUACCAACGUCUUCCAUUAAGAAAUAUUUAUAGUCUUCAUAUGCAUUAGCUUGUUUAGAGGGACUGUGGUGCCAAUAUUAUAACUAACCAUGCAUGCAGGGUUGCUGGUGUUGCUUGCUUUUUGAAUUAACCAAAAGGUUGCGAGGUCAAAUCCCCGAGCUGACAAGGUACAAAUCUGUCGUUCUGCCCCUGAACAAGGCAGUUAACCCCACUGUUCCUAGGCCGUCGUUGUAAAAUAACAAUUUGUUUCUCAACUGACUUGCCUAGUUAAAAAAAAUAAAAAAUAAGGAAACAUUGUUUUCUAAAAACAGAACAUGUUUGGGAGAUUUGAUUAAAUUGUUAAAUUCUAUUCAGAGUGAAUUUCACCACAGAUAUACAGUUAUCUAUUACUAUCUAAACUAGUAUUUUAUGGAAUUAACACCUUUAGAAUCAGACAUAUUGACAUCCAGUGUGUUUACACAGGCAGCCCAAUUCUGAUCUUUUUUUCACUAAUUGGUCUUUUUGACCAAUCAGAUCGUCUCUUUUGCCACUAAUUGGUCUUUUUGGCCAAUCAGAUCGGCUCUUUUGCCACUAAUUAGACAACAUAUUAGAAUUGUGCUUCCUGUGGAAACAGCCUAUCGUAAUUGAUCAAUAAAAUAACGAUCUAGAAUAUGAGAAUAUCUUUAGUUAAAAAGCAAAGCAUCUAGACAUUUCAGAAAUAUUUUUUUUUAAAUUCUGCACGAUUUUUCAGUUUAUUUGAUCUAUUGUAAUCUCUGUUUUUAAAGGAAUGUUUAGCAUAUUAGUAGCUAUAUAAUUGAAUGUUUUUUGGUUUAGAGGGAAGACUAUACUGUGGUUUAGUAGGACGUAUGUUCCUCGUAAGAAACACCAAACAGUGCGUGAAGUACCACAUGUUGAAACAGAACGACUGACAUUUGAAUUGGCAAAACGGUCUUCUGGGGAAAUUCAAUAUGCAAGCUAGGUUCCCUAUGGUGCUAGUGCACUACAUUUUGACCGGGGGGGGGCAUAGGGCUCUGGUACAAAGUAGUGCACUAUGUAGGGAAUAGGGUGCCAUUUUUGGAAGUAGCCUCGGACUCGUACUGUAUCAUUCUGUAAGAACUAAGAACCCACUGAUUUAGGAGGCCUGUGUUGAUGCCUCUUUUCACAGUUUACAUUCUGUUCACAUGUUGCACCGUUGUCCAUAUCAAACGAACUAUGUAUGUAUGUAUGUAUGCAUGUAUGCAUGUAUGUAUGUAUGUAUGUAUGUAUGUAUGUAUGUAUGUAUGUAUGUAUGUAUGUAUGUAUGUAUGUAUGUAUGUAUGUAUGUAUGUAUGUAUGUAUGUAUGUAUGUAUGUAUGUAUGCAUGCAUGCAUGUAUGUAUGUAUGUAUGCAUGUAUGUAUGUAUGUAUGCAUGUAUGUAUGUAUGCAUGUGAAUAAUUAUGCAUUCUUCCUAUUAUUGAACGUAAUAGAGCGGCCUCAAGGAGAAAACGACUGAACAAAAUAUAAUAAUUAUGCUGUCAACCUUUCUUGAUAUGUUAUGAACACAUUCACUACCAUCAUCCUGUCUUGAAUACUGUGUUUAAAAAAAGAUAUAUAUUUUAAAAAAUUGUAACGCUACACAAUGUAGCAAUGCUUAGGAUAGGUAAAUCUAGAAUGUAUCGAUAAUUUAAAACUAUAUCAAAUGCGAGGAGAAAAUAUUAUGCAUGACUUAAAGUAAUCAAUGAUUUGUAUCGCGGGGCAAUAAUCAACUUGGUCAUUUGCGUUGAUCAUUAGAUCUGUGAUACUGAAAGGUUGAUAUUGUGGCGCUGUGAUAUAAGGUAGUAAAACGUUUUAUACAGGUCUUGAAUAACAGGGGAUGGUUGUUGACACAUCACCCUGAGCACAUUGUUUUGAUAAAAAAGAAUGUACGAUGUUGAUCAAAAGCCUGAAAUCCAGGCUGUUUGCGCUUUCAUUCUACUAUCAUUCUACUAUCAUUCUACUAUCAUUCUACUUUCAUUCUACUAUCAUUCUACUAUCAUUCUACUAUCAUUCUACUAUCAUUCUACUAUCAUUCUACUAUCAUUCCACUAUCAUUCUACUAGCAUUCUACUAUCAUUCUACUAUCAUUCUACUAUCAUUCCACUAUCAUUCCACUAUCAUUCUACUAUCAUUCCACUAUCAUCCUACUAUCAUUCUACUAUCAUUCUACUAUCAUUCUACUAUCAUUCUACUGACAAGGAGUGGAAUGAUGGCCCAAAAGACUGGAUUUCAGGCUGUUGAUCCAAGUAUCACUAGUAAACAAACAGAAUGAGUUGACUGUGCGUUGUGGUGUAACUAUGCACUCCAGCGAGAGGCCCUGGGGCAUGCUGGAGCAACGGAGUCUCCCGUCUCGGUUGUGGAUUAACUGAAGAAAUCUGCAUCAGAAAUGUAGCAAUAAAAAGCAGCAUGGUGCCAAUAGCACGAA